RNAcentral lists this ribosomal RNA (253 nucleotides) under uncultured bacterium. RNAcentral's name for it is "partial 16S ribosomal RNA". It matches the Rfam family "Bacterial small subunit ribosomal RNA", at positions 524 to 776 of the family's 1533-position model. The record is from RNAcentral.
GACGUAGGUGGCAAGCGUUACUCGGAAUUACUAGGCGUAAAGCGCGUGUAGGUGGAUGUUUAAGUCUGUUGUCAAAUCUUCCGGCUCAACUGGAAGCCAUCAAUGGAUACUGGACAUCUUGAGUGAGGCAGAGGAAGCUGGAAUUCCCAGUGUAGCGGUAAAAUGCGUAGAUAUUGGGAGGAACACCAGUGGCGAAGGCGGGCUUCUGGGCCUUUACUGACACUAAGACGCGAAAGCUAGGGGAGCAAACAGG